This 420-nucleotide ribosomal RNA is filed under the name bacterium. Its description in RNAcentral is "partial 16S ribosomal RNA". It matches the Rfam family "Bacterial small subunit ribosomal RNA", at positions 355 to 776 of the family's 1533-position model. The record is from RNAcentral.
GGGGGGAUAUUGCACAAUGGGCGAAAGCCUGAUGCAGCGACGCCGCGUGGGGGAUGAAGGCUUUCGGGUUGUAAACCUCUUUCGCUAUCGAACAAGGCCCGCUUAGGGUGGGUUGAGGGUAGGUGGAGAAGAAGCGCCGGCUAACUACGUGCCAGCAGCCGCGGUAAUACGUAGGGCGCGAGCGUUGUCCGGAAUUAUUGGGCGUAAAGGGCUUGUAGGCGGCUUGUUGCGCCUGCUGUGAAAACGCGGGGCUUAACUUCGCGCGUGCAGUGGGUACGGGCAGGCUUGAGUGUGGUAGGGGUGACUGGAAUUCCAGGUGUAGCGGUGGAAUGCGCAGAUAUCUGGAGGAACACCGAUGGCGAAGGCAGGUCACUGGGCCAUUACUGACGCUGAGGAGCGAAAGCAUGGGUAGCGAACAGG